AUGUGCUUGACAGGGGAAGGCCCCACCGACGCCACGGAAGAGGUCUCCGUGGCCGCCGCCACUGUGAUGAGCAGCCGACAGUCUUGCCCUACGGGGCCCGUCGUAGAAGAUGUCGACGGCAACGGGGACCUGGCCAACAUCACCUCCAUCAUCCUGGAUGCCCUGAUUGUUGAGCACCUUCAUGGGGUUACCGAUACUUAUGAGGUCCCACGGCUUCUACCCCUGCACCGCCACAUCGAUAUUGGUGACGGAAUUAACCUCAAUGAUGUGGAGUCCGAUUGGGGAGUCACAACUAUUGGUCAAUUGAUAUUCUGGGAUCAUUCCUUGCGCGUCCAUGGAAAUUCUUCCAUCCUUGCUAUUAGCCCCAAACCCGAUUCAGCGGUCUUUGGACGUGGAGACUCUUUGUUUCAUUUGAGAUGGUGCCAUAUCGACAAGUGCCCUAAGAUUCAUGUAGUUUUCGCCUCUUGCACCAACGAGUGGUCUUAUUCCUUUCCUCAUUUGGAGACCAUCUGGGUGACCAAUCUCCCAAUGGCUGGCUGCAUUUGGAGCAAAGGAAUGAUUGGGGCAUUUGAGGAAGAAUCUGUUAUUAGGGAACUGCGGAGCAUACACUUGCAGAACUGCCCAAGGCUCAAGUUUGUCCUCCCAAUCUCAUCAUUCAUAUUACCCAGCCUGGAGACCAUCCAAAUAGUCCACUGCGGUAAUCUCAGGCAGAUCUUCCCAUGGGAUGCCAAGAUGUUUGCUCCCAAGCUUGAGAAGAUCAGGAUAAGGGGUUCUUGGGGCCUUAGGCGCCUCCCGGCUGCGGGCCUCCACCAUGGAAUCAAUCUUCCCAUUGUGGACUAUGAGAAGGACUUGUGGGACAGGCUAGAGUGGAACGGUCUGGAGGCCGGGCACCACCCGUCACUCUUUGAGACACAUCACUCAUGGUAUUACAAGAAGGCAUUGCCUUGA
Molecule: ribosomal RNA, 948 nt
Filed under: Triticum aestivum (bread wheat)
Lineage: Eukaryota; Viridiplantae; Streptophyta; Magnoliopsida; Poales; Poaceae
Description: partial small subunit ribosomal RNA
Source: RNAcentral